GACGAACGCUGGCGGCGUGCCUAAUACAUGCAAGUUGAGCGCUGAAGGUUGGUACUUGUACCAACUGGAUGAGCAGCGCACGGGUGAGUAACGCGUGGGGAAUCUGCCUUUGAGCGGGGGACAACAUUUGGAAACGAAUGCUAAUACCGCAUAAAAACUUUAAACACAAGUUUUAAGUUUGAAAGAUGCAAUUGCAUCACUCAAAGAUGAUCCCGCGUUGUAUUAGCUAGUUGGUGAGGUAAAGGCUCACCAAGGCGAUGAUACAUAGCCGACCUGAGAGGGGGAUCGGCCACAGUGGGACUGAGAAACGGCCCAAACUCCUACGGGAGGCAGCAGUAGGGAAUCUUCGGCAAUGGACGAAAGUCUGAACGAGCAACGCCGCGUGAGUGAAGAAGGUUGUCGGAUCGUAAAACUCGGUUGGUAGAGAAGAAAGGUGGUGAGAGUGGAAAGCUCAUCAAGUGACGGUAACUACACAGAAAGGGACGGCUAACUACGUG
Molecule: ribosomal RNA, 497 nt
Filed under: uncultured bacterium
Lineage: Bacteria
Description: partial 16S ribosomal RNA
Rfam family: Bacterial small subunit ribosomal RNA
Source: RNAcentral